This 406-nucleotide long non-coding RNA is filed under the name Brassica napus (rape). RNAcentral's name for it is "long non-coding RNA (BNAP_LNC005064)". The record is from RNAcentral. Lineage: Eukaryota; Viridiplantae; Streptophyta; Magnoliopsida; Brassicales; Brassicaceae.
UUUUUUUAUAUUUAUCAAUUUCUAAAAUAAAAAGUAAUUCUAAAAUAAAAUAGCUUAAACUUUUAUAUUGGAUUACCUUAAUAAGAUAUAAAAAUUAUCUUUUAGUUGUAGAUUGUAUUAUAAGUCAUGUAAUCAAAGAUUUGUAUAUAAGGUGAACCACAAAAGCUUAUAAAAUUAUAAAUAAUUGUUUGUAGAUGAUUAUAAAUAUAUUUAUAAUUAUAUAAAUGUAUAUUUAUAAGGAUUUAUAAAUCAUAUUCCCUCUGUUCCUAAAAGUAGGAUUUUCUAGUGUUAUUUUUUGUUCCAAAAUAAUAGAUUUUCUAAAAUUUUAAGGUACUUUUAGUAGUUAAUGUUGAUAAAUUGUAUGUUUUUAAGAAAAAUUAAUUGAAAAUAUUUGAAUUGAUUAAAU